RNAcentral lists this ribosomal RNA (253 nucleotides) under uncultured bacterium. RNAcentral describes it as "partial 16S ribosomal RNA". It matches the Rfam family "Bacterial small subunit ribosomal RNA", at positions 524 to 776 of the family's 1533-position model. RNAcentral also lists the same sequence under 1 other name. The record is from RNAcentral.
UACGUAGGUGGCGAGCGUUGUCCGGAAUUACUGGGCGUAAAGGGCGCGCAGGCGGUUCGUUAAGUCCAAGGUGAAAUCCCACGGCUCAACUGUGGGGGGACCCUGGAUACUGGCGGGCUGGAGUGCGGGAGAGGGAAGCGGAAUUCCACGUGUAACGGUGAAAUGUAUAGAUAUGUGGAGGAACACCGGUGGCGAAGGCGGCUUCCUGGACCGUAACUGACGCUGAGGCGCGAAAGCUGGGGGAGCGAACAGG